GACCUGAUAUCAGGCAAGACUACCCG
RNAcentral lists this ribosomal RNA (26 nucleotides) under Pythium insidiosum. Its description in RNAcentral is "partial 28S ribosomal RNA". The record is from RNAcentral. Lineage: Eukaryota; Oomycota; Peronosporomycetes; Pythiales; Pythiaceae.